UCUCAGCCCCAUGAUUCUAUGAGUCUGUGA
Molecule: non-coding RNA, 30 nt
Filed under: Homo sapiens (human)
Lineage: Eukaryota; Metazoa; Chordata; Mammalia; Primates; Hominidae
Source: RNAcentral